This is a non-coding RNA of Nicotiana tabacum (common tobacco), 2433 nucleotides long. NCBI's taxonomy places the organism in Eukaryota, Viridiplantae, Streptophyta, Magnoliopsida, Solanales, Solanaceae. The record is from RefSeq and is a predicted model, not a curated record.
CUAAACCUAAAGAUCCAUCCCCAAAUCGGCGCCCACCUCUUCACCCCAUCUCUGCCGCGCCCAAACCACCAUAACUCCAACCUAAUCUCACUCAUGGUCCCCCUUCUCUUCUCUCCUUCCUCCACGUCACACAUUCUGUACCGAGUCUCAUCAUUAUUACGCAUUUUUUCCUUUCUUUUUCAUUUUUUGAAGCAAAUCCAAAGCCUUUGGAUAAAAAAUUGGAAAAUGGGAUCCAUUGGAUCAAGGAUUUGAUCCAAGACCUCCAUUUUUUGAUUUUUUAUUUACCAAAAAAAUUUUCAAAUUUUUGGUUUUUGGAGGGGUCUACACGGUUUUGAGGUUUUCUUGGAGGAGAGGAAGAGAACCUUCGAGAGUUCAUAUAAAUACUCCCAUUUUGAGGGUUUUCGGAUAGACGACAAUUGGGAGAAAAAAAGAGGGCUUUUAAACAAUCGAUCAUCUUGCUCUCUAAUUUUUUUUAGGUCUUAAAAACUUCAGAAAAACCAAAAAAAUAUAGAUAUAUAUCUUUUUACUUGUUCUAUUUCUUCUUUUGAAUCUGGAUUUCAGUUGCAAACAUGGAGAUUGCCUGAGGUGUUCAAGUUUGAGGCUUCAAAUUACUGUCCGCUGGAAAAUUUCGAUCAUGGUUCCUUGUUUGAAGUUGUUCCUGUUUCCUCACUUGGAUUUCGGGUUCAAAGCUUUGUUGUCGAAUCUCUUACCUUCUGCUAUUUAGAAGAAAUUUUCGAUUCUCAGGUAUGGACCCGCUGACUAGAUCCAAAGUGCUGAUGGUAGUAAAGAUUCCUAGGAAGUUGAUCAAGUGGUGGAAAUUAUUUUCGCUGUUAGAGCAGCCUGAGUUAAUGCAGAAAUUGUUCACCCUCUCUUCCCUUCUUGAUACCACUCCUCGCCCAGACUUAGUGGAGGUGAUGCUGACCUAUUGGGAUCCGCAAAAUUUGACUUUCAGAUUUGGAGAGUGUGAGAUGACUCCUACCUUGGCGGAAAUAUCUGGUCUCACUCGUUUAAGCUAUAUAGGCAAGGACAUGAUACUUCCCCGAGACCAUUCUAGGACAAGAUUCCUCAGCGACCUGGGCCUGAAAGACAACAAGCAUUUAAGAUGCCUCGAGCAGUCCCGGAUAUCCUUAGAUUAUUUGUUUGCUAGAUUUGGACCACAUGAUAUUUUGACGUCUUUUGGGAUGAGUUUUGCACAACCAAGGCAAAGUGGCAAAGACGUCGCCUCAAAGCUUUCAGCCUUGCUUUGUUGGGAUUAUUGGUUUUUCCAUUAGAUGAGAGGCACAUUAGCACCCGUCUACAGUCAGUGGUGAUGGCACUAUUUCAUGAGAAGCAACGCAAAUUCGUUGCCGUUGUGCCGAUGAUUUUAGCAGAGUUGUAUCGAGCCCUGAGUGAGGUUAGGGGAUGUGUCAGGUAUUUUGAGAGAAGUAACCUUUUGCUACAAUUGUGGAUGAUGGAGCAUUUGCACACCACUUCCUUACUUUGUCCCAUCGAUCGUGCCUUGAGGGAUCGGGUGGUAUGCAUCGAGCGUAGGAUGAAAUCUCCUAAAUUUACAUACCCAGUAGGCGUCACAGCUUGGAUUGAGUUCCUUGGGUUGAGGACAAAUAGGAAUGUUUUGUGGGCUUACCUUUGGCUACCUUUAGAUAAGAUCUUGGCAGGAUGCCGCAUGCAGCCUUUCUUGGUAUUGAUAGGACUUAAAUGUGUCAAGCCGUACACUCCCAUUAGGGUGAUGCGAUAGUUGGGUAGGAGACAAGAGAAGCCUCCAACUUUGAAUCUUCGGAGGCACGUCAUGAAUUUUAGCAAAAAGUCGGCUGAUGAAAUCAAGUACGUGCAAUACUGGAACAAUGCAAAGAGGAUGAAGAAAAAUACAUUAGUAAAGGACGUUGGCAGGCCCGAGUGUACUCAGGAGUACUUGAUCUGGUUACAGUCCUUCCCACUAGGGGUUAGCAUCCCAUUGACAGCACAGCUUAGGGGUCGGGUAGUUCAGACAAAUGAUUUUGAGGAGGCAUCGGACUAAGAUCCUUGGGAUAAGCAUGAGUUGAUAAAGUCUCAGUUUGCGGGAUUGGCAGCAAACGUGGAGCAACAUGGCCAAUAUUUUAUUAGGGUCGGCCUUCAGGAUGCAGGGGAACACGCCAGGGUCUUUAUUCCCAGCAUCAGUGUUUCUUUACGAGGCAUGCUACAGAGUUUGAGCAUGACGGAUAGCUCGGGACCAUCCCAAUCGGGGGAAUCACAUCGAGGAGUUGAUUGAGGAGGAUUUCUGUUAUUAUUCACAUGGUUUGAGUCUAUUUAUGUCGUCUUUUAUUUUCUAGCCUUGUCUAGUAGUACUGAAGUUAGUGUUAGAGUUUGUCGUAGUGUAGUUGAGUCAGUCAGUCUUUCAUUCUCGUACCUCCCAUUUUGUAAACCAAAAUUUUUAAAUGAAAAAAAGAUUUUAUUUUA